RNAcentral lists this ribosomal RNA (420 nucleotides) under bacterium. Its description in RNAcentral is "partial 16S ribosomal RNA". It matches the Rfam family "Bacterial small subunit ribosomal RNA", at positions 355 to 776 of the family's 1533-position model. The record is from RNAcentral.
UGGGGGAUAUUGCACAAUGGGCGAAAGCCUGAUGCAGCGACGCCGCGUGGGGGAUGAAGGCUUUCGGGUUGUAAACCUCUUUCGCUAUCGAACAAGGCCCGCUUAGGGUGGGUUGAGGGUAGGUGGAGAAGAAGCGCCGGCUAACUACGUUCCAGCAGCCGCGGUAAUACGUAGGGCGCGAGCGUUGUCCGGAAUUAUUGGGCGUAAAGGGCUUGUAGGCGGCUUGUUGCGCCUGCUGUGAAAACGCGGGGCUUAACUUCGGGCGUGCAGUGGGUACGGGCAGGCUUGAGUGUGGUAGGGGUGACUGGAAUUCCAGGUGUAGCGGUGGAAUGCGCAGAUAUCUGGAGGAACACCGAUGGCGAAGGCAGGUCACUGGGCCAUUACUGACGCUGAGGAGCGAAAGCAUGGGUAGCGAACAGG